GUGCGAGGGCGCGCGUGGACGUGCUUCUCUCCGCUGUUGCUGCGCACGCGAGUGGUGCCGUGGCGGUUCCUGGGCGCGUGUCUCGUUUCUCUUCCCUUCCCGCCCUUUUCAGGGGCGCGAGGCGCUGCUGAGGAGAGCAGCAGGCGGUCGCGCUGCGCUGACUCCCGAGCCUUGCUUCGAGUGUACUUCUGCGGGGUUUCUUUCAGUAAAAUUAACAGAGAACAGACUUUUCCCUCCUGCCCCUUCGUUUUCAGCUGUCUACUUGCUGUUCCCUCGCAGCGCUCGCAGGUCAUGAAUCCAUGAGGCACCACAACAAGAGAAGAUAACCAUGAAACCCCUUAGAGAUGGAAAUGUCAUUGUUUCUAGGCCUUGUUUCUGUUGCUGUUACAAGUCAGACUGCUGCCAAGUGGUAUAUAAGCAAUCCAGGUGCUGGGAGAGAAGCAGCUUACAUCACCAGAGCAACCUCAGUGUCCAAAGUGGAAGAACCCAAGGGAGAAUUUGUAUCACAAGGUGACCUUGAGGAACAACAAGCAUUGUGGAAAAAAAAGGUUGAAGAUUUAUCAAUGCCAAAAGCAGAUGCUUCCACCACCUUCCCAAAAGCACCGUGACCCAGUGUUUUACCUAGAGAAGCAAGAGUCAAGAAUGAGCCAAAGGGGGCUUUAAACAGUCUGCAUCAGCCCAACAAAUUCUCCUGAAAUGCACCCGAGGGAAAGCAUCGCCAGUAGCAGAUCAUGGCUGUCCAGCAGUCUUUGCUCCCCCCUGCCCAGAAGCCGUGCUGUGCAAGGUAAUCAGUACAACCGAGGGAUCCAGCACUGCUGGAACAAUCCUUACCUGCAUUUUAUUUUUAGAUCUUCUCCUGGUAAGAUGACAAUGUGGUCUUUUGCAAUGCUCAGCACUGGUUUCUCAAAAAAUUCAUCCUCAGCAAGACCUGACCCAAAUAAAGAAGAAAUCAUAGUUAGGCAGGCUAUUCACUGUGGUUAGAACAUGCACAAUACUGCCGAGGAAAGCUUUUUGUUUUGUAAAUAGUUCCUAAUUUGGGGGCCCACACAGGGCUUUAAUUUAUACUGAUGCAAUUCAGUUGAGCGUGGAGUUGCACGGUGCCCACUGAGAUCCCCUCCAUUUGUUUUUCUUCCCCUUAUUCACCCCUUUCUUUUAUAACACCGAG
Molecule: long non-coding RNA, 1165 nt
Filed under: Gallus gallus (chicken)
Lineage: Eukaryota; Metazoa; Chordata; Aves; Galliformes; Phasianidae
Source: RNAcentral